This 702-nucleotide ribosomal RNA is filed under the name Triticum aestivum (bread wheat). Its description in RNAcentral is "partial small subunit ribosomal RNA". The record is from RNAcentral. Lineage: Eukaryota; Viridiplantae; Streptophyta; Magnoliopsida; Poales; Poaceae.
AUGGGUCGUUAUAGUGGGUUCAUUGCGAUGUAUGCUACUCUUGCAAGUCGGGAUGUGGAUUGCUGCUUGACUCCAGAGUCUCCAUUUUAUAUGGAUGGGGAAGGGGGGUUGCUUCAAUAUGUAGAGAGGAGGCUGAACGAGAACAAGCACAUGGUUAUUGUUGUUGCUGAGGGAGCAGGCCAGGAUAUUAUUGCCAAAAGCAUACCCGCUUCAGAUCAGCAAGAUGCAUCUGGAAAUAAACUGCUUCUUGAUAUUGGUCUCUGGCUGACUCACAAGAUUAAGGAUCACUUCAAGAGCAAAAAGAUGGAGAUGACGAUUAAAUACAUUGAUCCUACCUACAUGAUCCGAGCUAUUCCGAGUAAUGCAACAGAUAAUGUCUACUGCACACUGCUGGCUCACAGUGCCAUCCAUGGCGCAAUGGCGGGAUACAGCUUCACUAUUGUGAUGGUCAAUGGCAGACAUGCCUACAUACCUUUCUAUAGGGUGACGUCCACGCGGAACAAGGUGAAGAUCACUGACCGGAUGUGGGCGAGGCUGUUGUCACCGACCAACCAGCCAAGCUUCUUGAGCCAGAAGGACAUUGACGAGGCCAGGGAGGCCAAUAGGUUGGCCAACAAGCCGCCGCUGCCAUCUGUCGCCAACCACAAUGUGACAAAAGCCUUUGACCAAUCUGCAUCGACUUCGUCGAACGGCGAGAUAUAG